GACUGUACUGGUAAUAUAGGUCAGUCACGAAGAAUAGAAUAUGUAUUGGACUGUACUGGUAAUAUAGGUCAGUCACGAAAAAUGAAAUAUAUAUUGGACUGUACUGGUAAUAUAGGUCGGUCACGAAAAAUAUAAUGAUAUUGGACUGUACUGGUAAUAGAGGUCAGUCAAAAAAAAGAAAUAUAUAUUGGACUGUACUGGUAAUAUAGGUCAGUCACGAAAAUAUCUGAAAGUCUGUGCCCCAUUGUUGACGAAUAUAAUAUCGUGAGGACUUUAUCAAUAGUCACGGUCCCUGGCCCCUCCCACAUAAAAAUCAUUAGCAAGGUCACUGCAGGCAAUAGCGUCAGCAUUGUUAUUGUAUAAACAUGUCUUAAACAUUAUAAACGGCCCUAUUUGUGGGGUUACAUUGGGUUCUUGCUGGGGUAAUGAUGUCCAUGUCCGAUUCUGCGUUUUGUGGACUUGUAAAUCAGUCCAGCAGUGACAUUGCGUUUUGUGGACAUGUAAGUCUGUCCCGCAGUACCAAGUUUCACCCCAGCAAUUACCAAUAAGACCUGCACGUGACCUUAAAGUAAAGAGCUAUGCAAGUGUGGUCGAGACAAAACGCGAUGUAUGCAUUGGAAGAAGGAAAUCUGCGAAGAGUAGCUGGAACUGUCUGUCCAGCUCUCGUUUAUGAAACGAUGGGCGAUUUGAAAGACGUCUCCUGAACAGAUCGCCCAUUGUUCACUGAAGCAGCAUUCGAAUUGUCUCCACUUUUUUCAGGUGGAUUGCUCCAUCUCGUGUGGUUUGGCUGUCCCGUCCCAAGAAUCGAGCCAACGCGACCGAGGCCACUUCUGAAAGAUAAAUAUUCAGGAUGCCAGCUGAUUUGUGGAACACAAUUUAGGCCAGUAGUCAAGAGCCAUGAUCCGGGAACAGCAGUUCCCAACGGAACUGACCAUUUUCUUGUUGUAAUUCAUGCUGUUGGCUCAGAAUGGGUUGGCACACACCUGUUUUCGACCCUGAAAAUUAAACAUCGAACAUUAUUACUCUUUGUUAAAAGUGAACCUUGCAAAAUAUGUGCUUAUUCCUGAAAUCAAUAGCACUUCAUGUAUGUACUCGCUGAUCCAGAAUAUUGCUAUUUCUUGUUCCGUUUUCAAAGUGGCAAUCCAUUUACCGUAUCUGAGCUAUUUCACAGCACAAGAAGUGCAACAUUACAACAAUAGAGCUAUUUCUUGAUCACAGCAAAAAAUGUGUUUCUACAUUGUUUUACUCAAAUGAUGCAUGGAUGAGCCUUAUUGACAUAUUUGUUUUCAAGAGGAAUUGGUUGUAGGUUUUCUUUCUUUUUUCUUAAGGCAGGCCUAAUUUAACAGAAGGCCUAUAUUUUAGGUAGGAUAUUAUUUAUACUAUAGGCCCAUAUCAGUUUUGAGA
Lineus longissimus is the source of this 1404-nucleotide long non-coding RNA. RefSeq lists it as uncharacterized. Lineage: Eukaryota; Metazoa; Nemertea; Pilidiophora; Heteronemertea; Lineidae. The transcript is spliced from 2 exons. The record is from RefSeq and is a predicted model, not a curated record.